ACGGAGGAUCCGGGCGUUAUCCGGAAUUACUGGGUUUAAAGGGUGCGUAGGCGGGGCUUUAAGCCGGCGGUGAAAGGCAGCGGCUCAACCGCUGGAAUGCCUUCGGGACUGGGGAGCUUGGAGACGGUAGGGGCGGGCGGAACUCCCGGUGUAGUGGUGGAAUGCGUAGAGAUCGCGAGGAACGCCUGUAGCGAAGGCGGCUCGCUGGUCCAGUACUGACGCUGAGGCGCGUAAGCGUGUGUAGCGAACAG
RNAcentral lists this ribosomal RNA (251 nucleotides) under uncultured prokaryote. RNAcentral describes it as "partial 16S rRNA". It matches the Rfam family "Bacterial small subunit ribosomal RNA", at positions 525 to 775 of the family's 1533-position model. The record is from RNAcentral.